This 64-nucleotide transfer RNA is filed under the name Atkinsoniella zizhongi. RNAcentral's name for it is "Atkinsoniella sp. 1 YJ-2022a tRNA-Tyr". The record is from RNAcentral. Lineage: Eukaryota; Metazoa; Arthropoda; Insecta; Hemiptera; Cicadellidae.
AUCAAGGUGUCUGAUUUAAGUAGUAAACUGUAAAUUUACUUAAGAAAUAACUAUUCUCUUGAUA